GCUCACGUGGCGGCGGCGGUGGGAGGCUGCGGAGCGGCCCCGGGCAGCUGCCUCGUGGGGGAGGGGGCCGGGUCUGCCGAGGCUGCUGUUGAGAGCUGGGUGGUGGGGGAGCGGCCAGAGGUGCCCGGGCUGUCUCGGGGACGGGGCUAAAGGGGGACCCCAGGGAACGAGGGGAGUGAAGCAGGGCGCCCCCAGGCCGGCCACCGGGCUCCUUCAGCUCGUAGGACGUGCUCGCUCCGGCGCAGGGCGGUAUCGCCCCUUGCUGUGGGGGGGCUGCCCCUCACCUCCCUCUCGCCUGUUUCUGCUGAGUCCCGGGUAGCCUCACGCCUCGCUAUCACCGUCAGCCAGAUAGUCCCUCACGUGUCGCUAUCCUCAUCUCCAGGCUCUGCUAGCCACCUUUGUGCGGUCAGGAUUGGGUAUUGCCUAAUUAUUCCAGAACAGAGUUUGGAAUUCACUUCCUAGCUGCAAUAUGCCACAAAGCGUUACAGAAAAAUCACUUCAGCAUCCUGUUGAUAGUGAUCACUGUCAUUGUUAUAUUGCAUGAAAUGUAUGCACAGAACAGGGCCUAAUGGUCAGACUGCGAAUUAGAAUGGG
Molecule: long non-coding RNA, 594 nt
Organism: Mauremys reevesii (Reeves's turtle)
Lineage: Eukaryota; Metazoa; Chordata; Testudines; Geoemydidae
Exons: 2
Source: RefSeq, a predicted model, not a curated record